This 758-nucleotide ribosomal RNA is filed under the name uncultured Providencia sp. Its description in RNAcentral is "bacterial SSU rRNA". It matches the Rfam family "Bacterial small subunit ribosomal RNA", at positions 743 to 1502 of the family's 1533-position model. Lineage: Bacteria; Pseudomonadati; Pseudomonadota; Gammaproteobacteria; Enterobacterales; Morganellaceae. The record is from RNAcentral.
ACGCUCAGGUGCGAAAGCGUGGGGAGCAAACAGGAUUAGAUACCUGGUAGUCACGCUGUAAACGAUGUCGAUUUGGAGGUUGUUCCCUUGAGGAGUGGCUUCCGGAGCUAACGCGUUAAAUCGACCGCCUGGGGAGUACGGCCGCAAGGUUAAAACUCAAAUGAAUUGACGGGGGCCCGCACAAGCGGUGGAGCAUGUGGUUUAAUUCGAUGCAACGCGAAGAACCUUACCUACUCUUGACAUCCAGAGAAUUUAGCAGAGAUGCUUUAGUGCCUUCGGGAACUCUGAGACAGGUGCUGCAUGGCUGUCGUCAGCUCGUGUUGUGAAAUGUUGGGUUAAGUCCCGCAACGAGCGCAACCCUUAUCCUUUGUUGCCAGCACAUUAUGGUGGGAACUCAAAGGAGACUGCCGGUGAUAAACCGGAGGAAGGUGGGGAUGACGUCAAGUCAUCAUGGCCCUUACGAGUAGGGCUACACACGUGCUACAAUGGCGUAUACAAAGAGAAGCGACCUCGCGAGAGCAAGCGGAACUCAUAAAGUACGUCGUAGUCCGGAUUGGAGUCUGCAACUCGACUCCAUGAAGUCGGAAUCGCUAGUAAUCGUAGAUCAGAAUGCUACGGUGAAUACGUUCCCGGGCCUUGUACACACCGCCCGUCACACCAUGGGAGUGGGUUGCAAAAGAAGUAGGUAGCUUAACCUUCGGGAGGGCGCUUACCACUUUGUGAUUCAUGACUGGGGUGAAGUCGUAACAAGGUAACCA